UAUUAUUAUAACUUUUGAUUGUUUGCAUUAUUGUUUUAUGUAAUGAGAUGAAAGAGGAAAUCUGGUAAGCAACUUUAUUUUAGUGUUACAUUCAAGAAAUAUAAAAAGGGAAAAGUGGAAAGCAUUCUGUUACGUUUACAUUUCAAAAUUGUGAGUUUUGCAAAUUUGCGCUGGAGUCCUUUUACUUAACAAUGUUUUGCAAAGGAGACCCCCUCAUGUUUUACUAUAAAUAUGCCAACAUUAUUCCUACCCUUCAUGUACAACGUAACAUUAUUUAUUGAUUCUUUGCAUUUGAAAACCUCAAAUGGAAUCACAAAAUCAGAUCCAACCUCCAUCACAAACUACAUUCACUAGAACAAUGUUCAAUGUCCGGAAUACGUUAACAGGCAUUACACAACUUUACGUGUACAACAGUGUAUAUCGACACAAAUCCUACAAUCAAAACCUAUCCUGAUAUAGGUGCCCAUAAGGUUUUAAUUAACUCGUUUGCUAUAGUUCGGUCUCAAAUAACCGGAAAUCUUCCUUGGAGAAACAUAAGCUCAGAAAUCGCAAUUCACAUAACACUACUAAUUACUCCCAUCGCGAAAUAUGCUAUAUAUAUAAUACGCUCCAACGAUCAUAACAACUCUUGAAAAAAAGAACGUGGGAUUAAUUUGUUUCGUAAUUAAUUAGAACAUUAUUAGUCGAUCAUUUGUACUGGUAGUAAUGUACGUAGCGUUGGUAUAAAAAAUAAAAUAUCAUUUAUUAUUCAA
Molecule: non-coding RNA, 752 nt
Organism: Erythranthe guttata (spotted monkey flower)
Lineage: Eukaryota; Viridiplantae; Streptophyta; Magnoliopsida; Lamiales; Phrymaceae
Source: RefSeq, a predicted model, not a curated record